Molecule: long non-coding RNA, 2051 nt
Filed under: Pan troglodytes (chimpanzee)
Lineage: Eukaryota; Metazoa; Chordata; Mammalia; Primates; Hominidae
Description: long non-coding RNA NONPTRT012512
Source: RNAcentral
AAGGCUUCGAGGCUGCUCCCAUACGCACUGGUGGAAGGAGAGGCCGCGCUCCCGGCUGAGCACGGUGUCACGGGUGCUGCAGCCCACUGCGGAGCAACUUCGGGUCAUCUUCUUGUUACGUGGGGCCCCACCUUCGGGGUUCCCGCGACAGCAUGAAUCACGACCACUUUAGCUCCGCCCGUUGACUCUGCGGCUACGACCUUUAUUUGUCACGAAAGGCGGGCUUUAGAGGCGCGGGACUUCCACACUUCCUCUCCGAAGGCCCUGCGCCGGUGCCGUAGCCAAUGACAGGCCACGUUGUGUCCCAGCAGCCAAUCGGAAGGGCCUGAGCCUGAAGACGUGCAUUUGACCGCUCCUCCCUCCGCGUUGGAGGCGGAAUAGUGGGUUUUGCUGCAACCGGUUUAUUUUCCUUCUGUUUUCACCCAUUCGGGCACAAUCUGGCGCCAUCGUCCUUCUUGUGAGGCCAAGCCUGAAAAUGCGAAGCAGAGAGGCAGGACCAAAAUUGAGGCGAAUCCGGGAACCUGCCAAUGGGUCUCCGGGUGCGGUCUCUGAAACUGGAGGAUAUCGGGAGGAAAGGCUCUCCGAUGCGGAGAUAAUGGGGAAGCUCUUGGCAUGGUUGGCUGUAGGUAUGUGAUACCGGAGGAGCAGGAGUCAAAUAGGAUACGCCGACUUUUAAUUCAAGGAACCCUUUUCUGAAACACUUUGCCACAAUGAAGGAAAUAAGGAUCUAGUUUGAAGCACUAAGAAGAAUAAGACAUCAGUUUGAAAAGAGGCUCUAUCAGAAUAACACGAAUUCUGCUAAAAUUGAAGCAAGAACAAACAUCAAAUAUAUGUUGACACUUGGGUGGAAGAAUGGUGAACUAAUUGAUGCUUUAUGAAAAGUCGAUAGGGACAAUGCUCCAAAGAAAUCAGUUUACAAAUGGAUAACUCGUUUUAAGAAGGCAUAAGGUAAUGUUGAAGAAGAAGCCCACAGUGGCAGAUCAUCCACAUCAGUUUGUGAGAAAAAAGUUAGUUCAUGGCGUAAUUGAAGAAAACCAACAAUUAACAGCAGAAACAACAGCCAACACCAUAGACAUCUCAGUUGGUUCACCUUACACAAUUUUGACUGGAAAAGUUCAGCAAACUUUAUACCUGAUAGGUACCAAAACCAUUGCACCCAGAUCAGCUACAGACAAGAAUAGAGCUUUCAAUGGAAAUUUUAAAUAAGUGGGAUCAGGAUCUUGAAGCCUUUCAUUGAAAAAUUGUAACAGGAGAUGAAACAUGGCUUUACCAGCGCAAUCCUGAAGACAAAACACAAAGCAGUGGUUACCAAGAUAAGUAGUUCAGUUAAAGCACAAGAGGACUGGUUGAGAGCAAAGGUCAUGACAACAGCUUUUGAAUGCUCAAGGCAUUUUGCUUGUUGACUUUCUGUAGGGCCAAAGAAUGGUAACGUGCUUAUCAUGGGAGUGUUUUGAGAAACUUAGUCAAAGCUUCAGCAGAAAAAUCCCCGAGAAAGACCAGAGAGUUCUUCACCACAACAAUGUUCCUGCUAAUCCCUCUCAUCAAACAAGGGCAUUUUGCAAGAGUUUUGAUGGGAAAUCACUAGGCAUCCACCCUACAGUCCUGGUUUGGCACCUUCUGACUUUUUGUUUCCUAAUCUUAAAAAAAUUUUUAAGGGCAGUACAUUUUUCUCAAGUUAAUGUAUAAAGAAACUGCAUUGAUGUAGAUAAAUUCCCAGAACUCUCAGUUCUUUAGGGAUGGACUAAAUAGCUGGUAUCAUCACUUACAAAAGUGUCUUGAAUGCUAUAGAGCUAAUGUUCAGAAAUAUAGUUUAUAUUUUUUAUCUUUUAACCAUUUUUCCACAAACUUUUUGAAGUCUCCUUGAAUAUGUACCAUUUAUAAAGGGGAAAAAUUCUGUGACUACUCAUGUUGACUUAAUGCUGACUUAAUUUUCUGUUUUGUAAAUAUAUACAAACAAGUUGAUACAAAUUUUGUUUAUAGCCCUUAAACAAAUUUGUGAAAUAAAUGCAUUCAGAAACAAACUAAAACAAUGAAAUGGAUGCUACUGUUUU